This is a small nuclear RNA of Pan paniscus (pygmy chimpanzee), 107 nucleotides long. NCBI's taxonomy places the organism in Eukaryota, Metazoa, Chordata, Mammalia, Primates, Hominidae. The record is from Ensembl.
GUGCUCGCUUCAGCAGCACAUAUACUAGAAUAGGAAUGAUACAGAGAAGAUUAGCAUGGCCCCUGUUCAAGGAAGACACACAAAUUCGUGAAGCAGUCCAUAUUUUU